RNAcentral lists this ribosomal RNA (273 nucleotides) under uncultured Gammaproteobacteria bacterium. RNAcentral's name for it is "partial 16S ribosomal RNA". It matches the Rfam family "Bacterial small subunit ribosomal RNA", at positions 30 to 297 of the family's 1533-position model. Lineage: Bacteria; Pseudomonadati; Pseudomonadota; Gammaproteobacteria. The record is from RNAcentral.
AUUGAGCGCUGGCGGUCUGCUUAACACAUGCAAGUCGAACGGUAACAUUUCUAGCUUGCUAGAAGAUGACGAGUGGCGGACGGGUGAGUAACGCGUAGGGAUCUACCCAGCUGCGGGGGAUAGCCCGGUGAAAACCGGAUUAAUACCGCAUACGACCUUCGGGUGAAAGGUUGCCUCUCCUUGGAAGCAAUCACAGUUGGAUGAACCUGCGUCAGAUUAGCUAGUUGGUGGGGUAAAGGCCUACCAAGGCGACGAUCUGUAGCUGGUCUGAGA